Molecule: ribosomal RNA, 253 nt
Filed under: uncultured prokaryote
Description: partial 16S ribosomal RNA
Rfam family: Bacterial small subunit ribosomal RNA
Source: RNAcentral
ACGAAGGGGGCUAGCGUUGCUCGGAAUUACUGGGCGUAAAGCGCACGUAGGCGGCUUGUUAAGUCAGGGGUGAAAUCCUGGAGCUCAACUCCAGAACUGCCUUUGAUACUGGCGAGCUUGAGUGCGGCAGAGGGGGGUGGAAUUCCGCGUGUAGCAGUGAAAUGCGUAGAGAUGCGGAGGAACACCGAUGGCGAAGGCAGCCCCCUGGGUCGACACUGACGCUCAGGCACGAAAGCGUGGGGAGCAAACAGGA